GCGCCAUUAGCUCAGUUGGUAGAGCAACUGACUCUUAAUCAGUGGGCCCUGGGUUCGAGUCCCCGAUGGCGCA
Transfer RNA from Clostridium colicanis DSM 13634, 73 nucleotides. It matches the Rfam family "tRNA". From Rfam's summary of the family: Transfer RNA (tRNA) molecules are approximately 80 nucleotides in length. Their secondary structure includes four short double-helical elements and three loops (D, anti-codon, and T loops). The record is from Rfam. Lineage: Bacteria; Bacillati; Bacillota; Clostridia; Eubacteriales; Clostridiaceae.